CCUACGGGUGGCAGCAGUUGGGAAUCUUGCACAAUGGGGGAAACCCUGAUGCAGCGACGCCGCGUGGAGGAUGACGGAUCUAGGUCUGUAAACUCCUUUUUCAUGGAAAACGGUACCAUGAGAAUAAGGACCGGCUAACUACGUGCCAGCAGCCGCGGUAAGACGUAGGGUCCAAGCGUUGUCCGGAUUUACUGGGCGUAAAGAGCGCGUAGGCGGUCUUGUAAGUGUGAAGUGAAAUCCCAGGGCUCAACCCGGAAACUGCUUCGCAUACUGCAAGACUUGAGGGAUGCAGAGGUUUGUGGAAUUCCUGGUGUAGCGGUGAAAUGCGUUGAUAUCAGGAGGAACACCCAUGGCGAAGGCAGCAAACUGGGCAUCUCUGACGCUGAGGCGCGAAAGCGUGGGUAGCAAACAGGAUUAGAUACCCUUGUAGUC
This 432-nucleotide ribosomal RNA is filed under the name uncultured bacterium. Its description in RNAcentral is "partial 16S ribosomal RNA". It matches the Rfam family "Bacterial small subunit ribosomal RNA", at positions 338 to 795 of the family's 1533-position model. The record is from RNAcentral.